AGAGUUUGAUCCUGGCUCAGAUUGAACGCUGGCGGCAUGCCUUACACACGCAAGUCGAACGGCAGCACGGGAGCAAUCCUGGUGGCGAGUGGCGAACGGGUGAGUAAUAUAUCGGAACGUACCUUUCAGUGGGGGAUAACGUAGCGAAAGUUACGCUAAUACCGCAUAUUCUGUGAGCAGGAAAGCAGGGGAUCGCAAGACCUUGCGCUGAUUGAGCGGCCGAUAUCAGAUUAGCUAGUUGGUGAGGUAAAGGCUCACCAAGGCGACGAUCUGUAGCGGGUCUGAGAGGAUGAUCCGCCACACUGGAACUGAGACACGGUCCAGACUCCUACGGGAGGCAGCAGUGGGGAAUUUUGGACAAUGGGGGCAACCCUGAUCCAGCCAUGCCGCGUGAGUGAAGAAGGCCUUCGGGUUGUAAAGCUCUUUCAGCCGGGAAGAAAUCACAUGGGUUAAUACCCUGUGUGGAUGACGGUACCGGAAUAAGAAGCACCGGCUAACUACGUGCCAGCAGCCGCGGUAA
RNAcentral lists this ribosomal RNA (520 nucleotides) under uncultured bacterium. RNAcentral's name for it is "bacterial SSU rRNA". It matches the Rfam family "Bacterial small subunit ribosomal RNA", at positions 8 to 523 of the family's 1533-position model. The record is from RNAcentral.